Molecule: ribosomal RNA, 468 nt
Filed under: uncultured bacterium
Lineage: Bacteria
Description: partial 16S ribosomal RNA
Rfam family: Bacterial small subunit ribosomal RNA
Source: RNAcentral
GACGAACGCUGGCGGCGUGCUUAACACAUGCAAGUCGAACGGAAAGGCCCUGCUUUUGUGGGGUGCUCGAGUGGCGAACGGGUGAGUAACACGUGAGUAACCUGCCCUUGACUUUGGGAUAACUUCAGGAAACUGGGGCUAAUACCGGAUAGGAGCUCCUGCUGCAUGGUGGGGGUUGGAAAGUUUCGGCGGUUGGGGAUGGACUCGCGGCUUAUCAGCUUGUUGGUGGGGUAGUGGCUUACCAAGGCUUUGACGGGUAGCCGGCCUGAGAGGGUGACCGGCCACAUUGGGACUGAGAUACGGCCCAGACUCCUACGGGAGGCAGCAGUGGGGAAUAUUGCACAAUGGGCGGAAGCCUGAUGCAGCGACGCCGCGUGCGGGAUGACGGCCUUCGGGUUGUAUUCCGCUUUCGCCUGUGACGAAGCGUGAGUGACGGUAAUGGGUAAAGAAGCACCGGCUAACUACGUG